Stegostoma tigrinum is the source of this 418-nucleotide long non-coding RNA. RefSeq lists it as uncharacterized. The transcript is spliced from 2 exons. The record is from RefSeq and is a predicted model, not a curated record. Lineage: Eukaryota; Metazoa; Chordata; Chondrichthyes; Orectolobiformes; Stegostomatidae.
CGUAGUAAAUGCGACACAGGCGGCUGGAGGAAGUCGGUCGUUGUCAGUGUCUGAGGUUGUGCGGUGGUAGCGUUUGCAGACCUGAGCUAAGGUCCGUGGGUUCAGGUUCCAUCUGCUCCAGAGGCAACACCCUAUUGACAUACUGCGUCCAAUCUGGAAGAUUUAUUUUCCACCAUUCCUGGUCAGGAUCAGGCAGAACUGUUCCAUUUGAUUCCAGGACAUGGACAGAAUUCUUGUAUAAUUCCUCCGAGAGCUCCAGAACAUCUUUGCAGAACAUUUCCAAACAGACUAGUGAUUCUGGAAACACGCAGAAUAAGGACUCUUGAAAAGAAAAGAGAGAUAUUUUUCACAUGCAUUUAUUCUAUGCUAGUACUGUAGGGUAGGUUCAAGAUUCUAAAUAAACAUUUUUAAAAAUCUG